GAUGAAGAACGUAGCAAAAUGCGAUAAGUAAUGUGAAUUGAAGAAUUCAGUGAAUCAUCGAAUCUUUGAACGCACAUUGCGCCCGCUGGUAUUCCGGCGGGCAUGCCUGUUCGAGCGUCAUUUCAACCCUCAAACCCCCGGGUUUGGUGUUGGGGAUCGGCUCUGCCUCACGGCGGUGCCGCCCCCGAAAUACAUUGGCGGUCUCGCUGCAGCCUCCAUUGCGUAGUAGCUAACACCUCGCAACUGGAACGCGGCGCGGCCAUGCCGUAAAACCCCAACUUCUGAAUGUUGACCUCGGAUCAGGUAGGAAUACCCGCUGAACUUAAGCAUAUCAAUAAGCGGAGGA
This 346-nucleotide unclassified non-coding RNA is filed under the name soil metagenome. RNAcentral's name for it is "partial contains 5.8S ribosomal RNA, internal transcribed spacer 2, and large subunit ribosomal RNA". The stretch from base 1 to 120 matches the Rfam family "5.8S ribosomal RNA", at positions 35 to 154 of the family's 154-position model. The record is from RNAcentral.